UCUUGGUCAUUAGAGGAAGUAAAAGUCGUAACAAGGUUCCCGUAGGUGAACCUGCGGAAGGAUCAUUA
RNAcentral lists this ribosomal RNA (68 nucleotides) under uncultured fungus. RNAcentral's name for it is "partial 18S ribosomal RNA". It matches the Rfam family "Eukaryotic small subunit ribosomal RNA", at positions 1764 to 1831 of the family's 1831-position model. Lineage: Eukaryota; Fungi. The record is from RNAcentral.